UUUUAUGAUUCAGUCUGAGCUUGAGGCAGUUUCGAUAUUAGUUUUGAUGUUUGUAUUUUUCUAUUUGAGAAACAGGAAAAGAGGGCAUUUGUUUAUUAGGAAUAGAGAAAUUAAUACUAAUCCCUAAAGACGAAAUGUGUUAAACCGCAUAAUAGGAGGAGGCGAUAGAAAUUGCAUUUGGGAAUUAAGGAUGAGUGUAGACGCAUUAGGAAGAUUAUGUGAGUUACUUAAAGUUCAGGGUGGAUUAAGUGAUGAUUGUUGUGUAAGUAUACCUGAGCAAGUGAUUACAUUUUUGAUAAUAUUAGCUCAUCAUAAAAAAAAUUGCACACUUCAAGUUAGAUUUUAUAGGUCAGGAGAAACAAUAAGUAGGUAUUUCAAUAAGGUGUUGUACUCGAUUAUACGUGUUCAAAGCUUAUUGUUUGCAAAGGCUGUUCCUGUCCCAGAUGACUGCAUAGAUCCCCGAUGAAAAUGGUUCAAGGGUUGUCUAGGAGCAUUAGAUGGAACAUAUAUAGAUGUGACUGUUCUUGAAGAAGAUAAAUCAAGAUACCGAACAAGAAAGGGUAAAAUAUCAACCAACGUCCUAGGCGUAUGCAAUCAAGAUAUGAAUUUUGUAUACAUACUUAGUGGAUAGGAAGGAUCUGCAUCGGAUUCAAGAGUUCUUAGAGAUGCUAUUUCACGUCGUAAUAACCUCAAGAUUCCAAUUGGGAAUUAUUAUUUAGUGGAUGCUGGUUAUACUAAUUGCAAGGGAUUUCUAGCACCAUAUAGGCAAACUCAAUAUCAUGUACAAGAAUGGGCCCAUGGAAGAAAUGCACCUAGAAACUUUCGAGUAUAUUUUAACAAGAAGCACUCUUUAACUAGGAACAUUAUUGAGCGUUGUUUUAGUUUACUUAAGAAGAGAUGGGCAAUUUUGAGGAGUCCUUAUUUCUACAAAAUUAAGACACAGAAUAGAACAAUAAUUGCAUGUUGUCUACUGCAAAAUUUUAUUCGGCUUAAUAUGGACUCCGAUCCUGAAGAGGACAUCUUACUUGAGAAUGACCACGUAAUUAUUAGAGAGGAGCAUGGUAGUAAUG
Molecule: long non-coding RNA, 1070 nt
Organism: Arachis duranensis
Lineage: Eukaryota; Viridiplantae; Streptophyta; Magnoliopsida; Fabales; Fabaceae
Exons: 3
Source: RefSeq, a predicted model, not a curated record